RNAcentral lists this ribosomal RNA (673 nucleotides) under Irpex lacteus. RNAcentral's name for it is "eukaryotic LSU rRNA". The stretch from base 250 to 403 matches the Rfam family "5.8S ribosomal RNA". Lineage: Eukaryota; Fungi; Basidiomycota; Agaricomycetes; Polyporales; Irpicaceae. The record is from RNAcentral.
UCCGUAGGUGAACCUGCGGAAGGAUCAUUAUCGAGUUUUGAACGGGUUGUAGCUGGCCUCUCACGAGGCAUGUGCACGCCUGGCUCAUCCACUCUUAACCUCUGUGCACUUUAUGUAAGAGAAAAAAAUGGUGGAAGCUUCCAGGAUCUCGCGAGAGGUCUUCGGUUGAACAAGCCGUUUUUCUUUCUUAUGUUUUACUACAAACGCUUCAGUUAUAGAAUGUCAACUGUGUAUAACACAUUUAUAUACAACUUUCAGCAACGGAUCUCUUGGCUCUCGCAUCGAUGAAGAACGCAGCGAAAUGCGAUAAGUAAUGUGAAUUGCAGAAUUCAGUGAAUCAUCGAAUCUUUGAACGCACCUUGCACUCCUUGGUAUUCCGAGGAGUAUGCCUGUUUGAGUCUCAUGGUAUUCUCAACCCCUAAAUUUUUGUAAUGAAGGUUUAGCGGGCUUGGACUUGGAGGUUGUGUCGGCCCUUGUCGGUCGACUCCUCUGAAAUGCAUUAGCGUGAAUCUUACGGAUCGCCUUCAGUGUGAUAAUUAUCUGCGCUGUGGUGUUGAAGUAUUUAUGGUGUUCAUGCUUCGAACCGUCUCCUUGCCGAGACAAUCAUUUGACAAUCUGAGCUCAAAUCAGGUAGGACUACCCGCUGAACUUAAGCAUAUCAAUAAGCGGAGGA